UACGUAGGGCGCGAGCGUUGUCCGGAAUUAUUGGGCGUAAAGAGCUCGUAGGCGGCUUGUUGCGUCUGCUGUGAAAUCCCGGGGCUUAACCCCGAGCCUGCAGUGGGUACGGGCAGACUAGAGUGUGGUAGGGGAGACUGGAAUUCCUGGUGUAGCGGUGGAAUGCGCAGAUAUCAGGAGGAACACCGAUGGCGAAGGCAGGUCUCUGGGCCAUUACUGACACUGAGAAGCGAAAGCAUGGGGAGCGAACAGG
RNAcentral lists this ribosomal RNA (253 nucleotides) under uncultured bacterium. RNAcentral's name for it is "partial 16S ribosomal RNA". It matches the Rfam family "Bacterial small subunit ribosomal RNA", at positions 524 to 776 of the family's 1533-position model. The record is from RNAcentral.